RNAcentral lists this long non-coding RNA (941 nucleotides) under Salmo salar (Atlantic salmon). RNAcentral describes it as "lncRNA (ENSSSAG00000092610.1)". The record is from RNAcentral. Lineage: Eukaryota; Metazoa; Chordata; Actinopteri; Salmoniformes; Salmonidae.
GCCAAUCAGGACCGAUGCUCACAGUGACAACACUCACGCUGAGGAUAUUGUGGGUUAGAAGAGGAGCAUGGGUAAAAUAGAGGAGAGCAGGAGAAGUAAGAGAUGAGAUGAGAGGAGAGGGGAGAGGAGGAGGAGGAGGAGGAAGAGGAGAGGAGGAGGAGGAGGAGGAGGAGAGGAAUGAGAGGAGUACAAGGAAGCGGAAAACGGACGCACGUCACGAGCUGAUGGUGACAAACCGGUGCAAUCUCACAUUAACACCUCAACAAUCAAAGAUCUUUGAGUUGAUCAAAUUAUUGUGCACUCUAGCCUACAGUUUGUUUAGAGGAUUUACAGUUUGUUUAGAGGUUUACAGUCUGUUUAGAGGUUUACAGUUUAUUUAGAGGUUUACAGUUUGUUUAGAGGUUUACAGUUUGUUUAGAGGAUUACAGUUUGUUUAGAGGAUUUACAGUUUGUUUAGAGGAUAACAGUUUUAGAGGAUUUACAGUUUGUUUAGAGGAUUACAGUUUGUUUAGAGGAUUACAGUUUGUUUAGAGGAUUUACAGUUUGUUUAGAGGAUUACAGUUUGUUUAGAGGAUUUACAGUUUGUUUAGAGGUUUACAGUUUGUUUACAGUUUGUUUAGAGGUUUACAGUUUGUUUACAGUUUGUUUAGAGGUUUACAGUUUGUUUACAGUUUGUUUAGAGGAUUUACAGUUUGUUUAGAGGAUUUACAGUUUGUUUAGAGGUUUACAGUCUGUUUAGAGGUUUACAGUUUGUUUAGAGGAUUUACAGUUUGUUUACAGUUUGUUUAGAGGUUUACAGUCUGUUUAGAGGGUUUACAGUUUGUUUAGAGGGUUACAGUUUGUUUAGAGGUUUACAGUUUGACAGCGCCACUUUUUCUACAGACAAACAUUAGUCACAGGAUUGCAAAGGGAAGGUCAGAUGCAGAUAAGGGGUCUAUGAG